RNAcentral lists this transfer RNA (88 nucleotides) under Neochloris aquatica. Its description in RNAcentral is "tRNA-Ser". It matches the Rfam family "tRNA". From Rfam's summary of the family: Transfer RNA (tRNA) molecules are approximately 80 nucleotides in length. Their secondary structure includes four short double-helical elements and three loops (D, anti-codon, and T loops). Lineage: Eukaryota; Viridiplantae; Chlorophyta; Chlorophyceae; Sphaeropleales; Neochloridaceae. The record is from RNAcentral.
GGAAUAGUGGCUGAGUGGCUUAAAGCGAUAGCUUGCUAAGCUGUUUACCUUAUUUCAAAGGUACGUAGGUUCAAAUCCUUCCUAUUCC